This 162-nucleotide ribosomal RNA is filed under the name uncultured bacterium. Its description in RNAcentral is "partial 16S ribosomal RNA". It matches the Rfam family "Bacterial small subunit ribosomal RNA", at positions 1339 to 1500 of the family's 1533-position model. The record is from RNAcentral.
UAAUCGCGAAUCAGAAUGUCGCGGUGAAUACGUUCCCGGGCCUUGUACACACCGCCCGUCACACCAUGAGAGUCGAUAACACCCGAAGCCUGUGAGCUAACCUUAGGGAGGCAGCAGUCGAAGGUGGGGUUGAUGAUUAGGGUGAAGUCGUAACAAGGUAUC